RNAcentral lists this non-coding RNA (80 nucleotides) under Paramoeba aestuarina. The record is from RNAcentral. Lineage: Eukaryota; Discosea; Flabellinia; Dactylopodida; Paramoebidae.
CUUGUUUAGUUUGAUGUUUUUCUCUCUUUUUUCUUUUUUUUCUUUGCUUUCUCUCCUUUUUUCUGUUUUUUUUGCAAUAA